Long non-coding RNA from Pieris brassicae (large cabbage white), 955 nucleotides. RefSeq lists it as uncharacterized. The transcript is spliced from 3 exons. NCBI's taxonomy places the organism in Eukaryota, Metazoa, Arthropoda, Insecta, Lepidoptera, Pieridae. The record is from RefSeq and is a predicted model, not a curated record.
UUAUGAAAAUCAUAUCGUAAUAAAGUGUCGUUUCAUAUACUACUUUUCCUGAAUCGGUCAUUUUUACUAUAGAAAUUUGUUCAUUAAAAGGAAUGAUUUAAAGUAUCUGGUAACAAGUAUUUACUAUUUUGCAAUAAACACAUAAAAUUUUAGUACCGCCUAGCCAACGACAUUUACACUUAUUUAAUUCUAAGAAUCUUCUAAAACUCGAAUAAAUUAUCGGUGUUUUUGAUGGCCGUCAUCAGGAAAUGAUUGAUUCAUAAUCGAUACCAGCGCUUUACAGAGACCUACUGUCUAGAGAUACAUCUACGAAGUUAUAUAAUUGAGAUUAUAUAAGACUUGUAUAAAAAACGAGGUAUACCAAAAACUGUUUGGUGCCAACCCUAUUCCCCUGAUCAGCAUUUUGUUGACUCGAAUUAACGAGGUUACGCGUUUAUUGACUCACCACAAGCGUAACCAUAGUCUGCAAUGGAAUGCCCACUCCUUCCAAUCAUACAAAGCAAAGUGGUAUGUAAAAGAAGACCUAGCCGCAGAUGUGGUUAUCGAAUGUUCGGAAAUGGUUUGGCUACAGCACCAAAUCAUAGCCACCCAUGAUGGUUACCAACAUUCGAUAGGCUCUAUAAGUGGAAUAAAAAGCUUUCCAUUUUAUAAAAUAUUACAUUUUUCGUAUUUAAAUAUUGCUUAUAAUAUUUUAUUAUUUGUUGUUUGCAAGCCUGGCUAAUUUCUGAUACCACGAUCAUUUAAAAUAGCUGUACUAUUACUAAAAUAUCUGAAAUCAUUUCUUUUAAUAGCUUAAUACGCAAGCAAUUAAUUUCUUUCGAAAUAUAAUUAAUUAGAAUUAAAAUCACGAACCUGACCUUUGGAUUUCGUUUAUUUGUAUUACGAAAAUACCACUUCAAGCCAAGUUACCCUGACUAAAUCACGAAACAAGUUUAAUAAAAUUGGAGAAAGGAUG